UUCAUAGAAAAUCCUCAUUCAUCAAAGUAGACGAUAUGGAGAAAGACGACUAUAGUGAUCCUGAAGCAACUCCGUUGAUCGAUGUAAGUGAAUUUCGUCGUCGGUCUUUUUACCGAGCCAUAAUCGCCGAGUUUGUAGCAACAUUAUUUUUCCUAUACAUCUCUGUCACUGCAUUGAUCGGGUACAAAAACGAACCAGACAAAUGCAACAGCAUAAGUCUGCUUGGAAUCGCAUGGGUGUUCGGAGGCAUGAUUUUCGUACUAGUCUAUUGCACCGCUGGUAUCUCCGGAGGUCAUCUCAAUCCAGCAGUUACCUUCGGAAUGCUCAUCGCACGGAAAUUAUCUCUUCCACGUGCCGUCAUGUACAUGGCGGCACAGUUUCUCGGUGCAGUUUGUGGGGUUGGCUUUGCCAAAGCCAUCUCUGGAUCAGACAACUACACUUAGGUAGGAGGAGCUACUAAUUCCAUAUCAUCUGGAUACACUAAAGGUUCUGCACUAGGAGUAGAGAUUCUGGGAACUUUCCUUCUGGUUUUCACUGUUUUCUCCGCGACUGAUCCCAAGAGAAAAGCCAGAGACUCUCACGUCCCGAUCCUCGCACCAUUGGUUAUAGGAUUUGCCGUCUUCAUGGUGCACUUAGGGACGAUUACUAUUGGAGGAACGGGCAUUAAUCCGGCUAGGAGCUUUGGGGCGGCUGUUAUUUAUAAUAACCACAAGGCUUGGACUGAACUUGUAUGUACAUCUCUUCAACCCUUUCUUUUUUUUUCUUUUUUUUAUAGAAAAGCAUUUGCCCUCUAAUUUUAAAACUUACACAUAUUAUUUUCAUUUUAUAUUUUCUACUUUACCUAUCUCAUGUUGAUUCUACGUAUCUUUAUAAAAUGUACGUUCAGGAUAUGAGUUGUAGAAAAAAACUUCAACCAACUUAAUGUGUGGUCUUUUUCAUCUUUUAACCGAAAAAAACUUAUCCCACAUAAUAAAUUUACCUUUUAUCAAGUUACAGCUUUGUCCUUGUAAGAACUAUCCAUUUUUUUACCUACUUAUUGAUUUUUGUUGCUGUUAAUUAUAUUUUACAGUGGGUCUUUAUACUUGGACCGUUGAUUGGAUCGUUUAUAGCAACAGGGUUUCACCAGAUUAUCAUUCGAGCAUCGAACUUCGAAAGGAUUGUCAAUUCCUUUGCAACCCCAUGAAUUGAAAAGAAUAUAUAGUUUCUCAAUGAACAUCUAAAUUUUGUAUUUUGUAUGUUCAAUUACUCAAAAUUUGAUUUACCUUGUUGACCAAUGUUUUACACUCUUCAAAACCAAUUCAUUUAAUCUAGAUUAUAAAAUAGGCAACAGUUGUAGUCCUACAUGUUGAAGAUAAGUGGUACAUUAGUAUAGGAUAGACCAUAAUAGGUAAUUAAGGAAAAUAUAUAAUUCACUAUGACAUCCUAAUAAUUAGUAAUAAUUAUAAUAAGAAACAUGAAGAUUAGAAAUCAUUAAACUAUUAAUAAUUAGUACUAAUAAAGUGGGUAAAUUACGCUAGACAUUCUGACAGUAGUACAAAUCUGGCAGUAGUACAAAUCUGACAAACAGUACAGACGAAUAUGUACAGUAGUACAGACGAAUAUAUGUAGACGCAAUCGCAUCGUUAUUAAAGACGGAAAAAAAUGAAAAACGACUUUAUGAAUAGUGAUUUGGAAUGACUGGUUGGCAGCUAAUUGUCUCCAUGCCUCGAGAUGAUGUCCAAUGGUGGUUCAAUAACUGAAAAACUGGUAGUACGAAAAGUUGACCUUUCGAUUUGAUUUAGAGCCACGUAAAUCGUUCAAAUAGGUGCAGAUGUAUUUGAAAUUAGUUGGGUUGAGUUGGAUAUUGGUCAUGAUACUUAACUGACUAGGUGCAGAUGUAUUUGACUUGUAGAUUUAAUUAUUAUUUAUUAUAGAAUAAGACAUAAUGAAUCUUCUAUAAAUAUCCAAAAUUCAUAGAAAAUGGUUCAUAUAGCAGAAUACAAUGGUUCAUAGAAAAUCCUCAUUCAUCAAAGUAGACGAUAUGGAGAAAGACGACUAUAGUGAUCCUGAAGCAACUCCGUUGAUCGAUGUAAGUGAAUUUCGUCGUUGGUCUUUUUACCGAGCCAUAAUCGCCGAGUUUGUAGCAACAUUAUUUUUCCUAUACAUCUCUGUCACUGCAUUGAUCGGGUACAAAAACGAACCAGACAAAUGCAACAGCAUAAGUCUGCUUGGAAUCGCAUGGGUGUUCGGAGGCAUGAUUUUCGUACUAGUCUCACUAUAAGAAAAGAGGUCUACAGCGACGAUUUUAGCGACGAUUUUGGAUCGUCGUUAAAUUACAAGAAGGAUUUUGAAGAAAACCCGCGAUAUUCGUCGUUGAUUAUCUUUUUUUUUGUUUAAUUAGCGAUGAUAUGUUGAUGAUCGUCGUUAGAUAUAACAUUUAGCGACGAUUUAAAAUUUAUCAUCGCUAAUAAUGCGGACCUAUUUAUAAAAUUUUAAAAAAAUAAGGUAUUAUUUAUAAAUUUCCCAAAAGUAAUGUUAUUUCCCCCCCAAAUCGAUUUCCCCCCAAAACUCCCAAAACCCAAUUUAUUAAAUUAGGACCAAUUUAUUAAAUUACCCAAUUAAAUUCCCAAAUUUCCCCAAAUACUUCCCCUAAACCUAAACCCUCCAUUUACCCCAAAUUUUUCCCAAAUUAAAAUACUAAAGUUGAUUAUUUAAAGGUUAAAAAUUUAAAAUACCCAUUUAUAAAAUAAGUAUUUAAACCCAAACCCCUAAAUUAAACUCACCGAAAAAACCCCAAAUCCUACAUCGUCUUUUCUUCCCUCCUUACACUCUCCGGCGAUUUUCCAAUCCAACCUCUGUCGACGUGGCGAGGAGUUCCUCCGGUGACAGAAGCGACUUUCCUCUGGUGAGUUUUAUUUACCUUUGGCCGUAGACUUUCCUCUGGCCGUGUUCUUAUUAUCUAAAUUUACUCUACUGUCAAGUAUCUCAUAACUCAAGUCAUUAUUUCUAACACAAUCUCUUACCCAACUCACAAGAUCACCAUCACCAUCACAUCCACUUCCUUCUAAUUGUUGUAUAGAUUUUCUCCCUGUCACCCAGUUCUAGCAAAACAACUCCGUAGCUAUAGAUAUCACUUUUCUCUGUUACCUUCAUUGUAUAUGCAUAUUCUGCAGGGAAAGAAAUCACAAAAACAAAACAAAAGGUGUUAUUAUAAUUGCAAAUUUGCAUAUUCCAAUCUCAUUUCCCUCCAUUUCAUUUCCCCUAAUCUUGUUUCCCCCCAUUUCAUUUUCCCCAAUCUCAUUUCCUCCAAUAUUUUCCCCUGGCUUCAAUAUUACAACAUCGUUUCUUUCCCAUUCUUUCAGCCUAACCUUCCACAACCCUCAAUAAUCCAUCACUUCCAUGAUCGUGACCUAACCUUCCACAACAUUUAUGGACUGAGACAACAUAUUCCAGAAACGCUAAGUAAUUAAUACAUCAAUUUGAUUCUUCUUUGGUUUUCUAUAUUCUUCUUUUUCAUUUAGGCUUUUCAUUUUCUAUUUUUCCUCUUUUAUUCCUUAAUCUUCCUCUCUUCCUCUUACAUUCUCUUCUUUUUCCAUUUUAUUCUUCAUCGUUUAAUCUUUCUCUUUUUCUCAUUCUUGUUCAAGAUUUUCUGCUUUAAAACCUAGAUAUUGAAAAAUAAUUUUAGGGUUUGUCAUUCUUUUUAAUACUGUUUCGUUUUUGAUGCAACAAGUUUUUUUAUUGAAUUUGUUGGUAUAAAAUCUACUUCAAAAAGGAAUUGGUUCUAUCGAAUGUUUUGUAAGUCUAAUGUUUAAAACAGUAAAUAAAGAAUUUGGAUAUAAAGUAAAUAGAUCAUGUGUCACAACAUCUUAUCAUUUGAAUCUGUUAUCUUUAUCUUUUAAAUGGCCAAGUGUUAAAAAACUGUAAUUUGGGUAUAAGGAAUUUCCAAUGUUCUUCAACACCUGUCCGCCAUGUGCCAUGACAUCUUAUGUGAAUUCAUUAUCUUUUCAUUUUAGAUGACCAACUGUCAAAAAUCUGUAAUUUGUAAAAUAAUUUAUACGUAUUUUGUAAAUAUUAUAAUUGCUUAUGUAGGUAUCUACAUCUAUUUUUAAGGUUACGUUAUAUAUGAAAUAUAUUUUAUCAAUUUUGGCAUUCUAUUUAGCAUUAUGUUUUGCUUGUAUAUAUAAAUCUUAAAUGUUUUGCUGAUUUUUUUCUUUUAAAAUUUUAAAUGUUGUUUGAUUAUUAUUUUUUCAUUUUCAGAUUGAUUAGAAGAAGAAUAUAAAAAGCAAAGAAGGUAUCUUGUCAUUUAUUUAAUUUUAAGAUUUUAAAUCUAGGUUCUCAAAAUAACUUUGAUUUUAGAAAUGUCCAUACUCAAUAAUUCAUUCUCUGCACACUUGGAUCUCCUUUCUGUAUUUUUUUACAUAUUUGGGCAUUAUUUUGCUGAUUUGCUUGUAUUUUUUUUUCAUAUUUGGGGUUUUCAUUUUUAUUAGCAUUAUGUUGUUGUUGCUGAUUUGCUUGCUGAAUUCCUUAGCAUUUCAUUUAGCAUUAUGUUUGAUUAUAUAUAAAUCUUAAAUGUUUGUUGCUGAUUUAUUUGCUUGCUAAUGUUUGUAUUUUGCUUCUAUAUAUAAAUCUUAAUUGUUUUGCUGAUUUUUUUUUUAAAAUUUUAAAUGUUGUCUGAUUUUUUUUUUCUUUUUCAGAUUGAUUAGAAGAAGAAUAUAAAAGGCAAAAAAGGUAUCUUGUCAUUUAUUUAAUUUUAAGAUUUUAAAUCUAGGUUCUCAAAAUAACUUUGAUUUUAGAAAUAUCCAUACUCAAUAAUUCAUUCUCUGCACACUUAGAUCUCAUUCAACUAUCAAUAUCUCAUUUAUCCCUUUCAAUCAUUUCUGGUUAUGGAGUAUUAUAUCUCAUGAGAAUGAUUCAUAUGAGACAUCUUGGAUAAUGAGAUAUAACAUCUCAUUCGUUCCAUUUAUCCAACUUAUCUCUUCCCAAAAGUAAUGUUAUCCCCCCCUCCAAAUCGAUUUCCCCCCAAAACCCCCAAAACCCAAUUUAUUAAAUUAGGACCAAUUUAUUAAAUUACCCAAUUAAAUUACCAAAUUUCCCCAAAUACUUCCCCUAAACCUAAACCGUCCAUUUACCCCAAAUUUUUCCCAAAUUUCCCCAAAUGGGGACUAAUAAUGGACAAGUUUUUGGCACCAGAGUUCGUAGAAAAAUCAAAAAAGAAUUCAGCAAAUCGAACUAAAAACGACGAUUAUUUGGUGUACAAGGGUGGAUCGGCUUCUUUUGAAGCCAACUCUCAUGCAUUA
This 5276-nucleotide long non-coding RNA is filed under the name Zostera marina. Its description in RNAcentral is "long non-coding RNA (ZMAR_LNC002836)". The record is from RNAcentral. Lineage: Eukaryota; Viridiplantae; Streptophyta; Magnoliopsida; Alismatales; Zosteraceae.